This 228-nucleotide non-coding RNA is filed under the name Eubacterium sp. RNAcentral describes it as "T-box sequence". It matches the Rfam family "T-box leader". From Rfam's summary of the family: Uncharged tRNA acts as the effector for transcription antitermination of genes in the T-box leader family. T-boxes are found upstream of many aminoacyl-tRNA synthetase genes and some amino acid biosynthetic genes usually in Gram-positive bacteria. Lineage: Bacteria; Bacillati; Bacillota; Clostridia; Eubacteriales; Eubacteriaceae. The record is from RNAcentral.
UUAAAGGCAAUGAUAGUGUAAGUAAAGUUGCAGUAUUCUUUAAGAGAGAAAGAUUCAUCGGCUGAGAGAUUUUUUAGGUUACGCUGCAAUUUGAAUUUCCCACUGGAGCUGCAUUUGUAAACGGAAUUUUCUUAGUAAUGAAUGACGUUUAUGCGCGUUAAGCAUAUAGAGAGCUUGAUUAUUUUAAUCAGGAACUAGGGUGGUACCGCGGAUAUUUCCGUCCCUUAA